RNAcentral lists this ribosomal RNA (253 nucleotides) under uncultured bacterium. RNAcentral describes it as "partial 16S ribosomal RNA". It matches the Rfam family "Bacterial small subunit ribosomal RNA", at positions 524 to 777 of the family's 1533-position model. The record is from RNAcentral.
UACGGGGGGGGCAAGCGUUGUUCGGAAUUACUGGGCGUAAAGGGCUCGUAGGUGGCCAACUAAGUCAGACGUGAAAUCCCUCGGCUUAACCGGGGAACUGCAUCCGAUACUGGAUGGCUUGAGUUCGGGAGAGGGAUGCGGAAUUCCAGGUGUAGCGGUGAAAUGCGUAGAUAUCUGGAGGAACACCGGUGGCGAAGGCGGCAUCCUGGACCGACACUGACGCUGAGGAGCGAAAGCCAGGGAGCAAACGGGG